GUUUGCUUUCCCUCUACCCACUGUGUGGCUUCCCUCCUCCCCCUGGGUGGGGUUAUAGAUAUUUUUUGUCGAAUUUUGAGCAAUCGAGCAUUAACUUUGAGGGACUAUUUGUGGCUGUCUUAUGUGAGCUCAUGAUGUCUUUUACUGGUCCAAUCAUGGGUCUUGUGCUCCUUCAAUUAUCAGCCAUGUCCUUCGUAGAAGAUAACUAAGCCCCAGAGGACCUAUCUAAUAAAGGUGUAAGGGAGCAGUGGCUGAUAGAGGUUUCUCUUGGGAUCACCGCCGAUAGCUAUAUGGCUGACCCAAAUGGCGUGAUUGGCACGUCAAAGAGAACUUCCAUCCCCUCCCUUUGCUGUUUAUAAUGGCUCCUGUUGUCUUCGGCCUCUUUGUUUACUUUCACAUCUUCCUUCAAUAGAUAGAUCUUUUCUUGCUUGAAGGUUAUGUUUACUGCUUGAUGUGGUUCCCCUGUUGUUUUGCUGAGAAGAGCAGAAACCAGCAAUGCUCUCCCCUGUAAGAUGUGGUGUUGUGUCCCUCUGGAAGUUCUCCUCUAAGUUGUGCGACCCUGUAAGAUGCGAUUUAGA
This 578-nucleotide unclassified non-coding RNA is filed under the name Hevea brasiliensis (rubber tree). The record is from RNAcentral. Lineage: Eukaryota; Viridiplantae; Streptophyta; Magnoliopsida; Malpighiales; Euphorbiaceae.